This 365-nucleotide ribosomal RNA is filed under the name uncultured bacterium. RNAcentral's name for it is "bacterial SSU rRNA". It matches the Rfam family "Bacterial small subunit ribosomal RNA", at positions 32 to 409 of the family's 1533-position model. The record is from RNAcentral.
AAUCAACGCUGGCGGCGUGCCUAACACAUGCAAGUCGCACGAGAAAGGGACUUCGGUCCUGAGUACAGUGGCGCACGGGUGAGUAACACGUGAAUCAUCUACCUUCGAGUGGGGAAUAACUGAGAGAAAUCUUAGCUAAUACCGCAUAAUACCUACGGGUCAAAGCAGCAAUGCGCUUGAAGAGGAGUUCGCGGCAGAUUAGUUAGUUGGCAGGGUAAGGCCUACCAAGACGAUGAUCUGUAUCCGGCCUGAGAGGGCGCACGGACACACUGGAACUGAACACGGUCCAGACUCCUACGGGAGGCAGCAGUGGGGAAUUUUGCGCAAUGGGGGAAACCCUGACGCAGCAACGCCGCGUGGAGGAU